UACGUAGGGGGCUAGCGUUGUCCGGAUUUAUUGGGCGUAAAGAGCGUGUAGGCGGCCAGGUAGGUCUGCUGUGAAAACUCGGGGCUCAACCUCGAGAUGUCGGCGGAAACCAUCUGGCUAGAGUCCGGAAGAGGAGAGUGGAAUUCCUGGUGUAGCGGUGAAAUGCGCAGAUAUCAGGAAGAACACCCGUGGCGAAGGCGGCUCUCUGGGACGGUACUGACGCUGAGACGCGAAAGCGUGGGGAGCGAACAGG
RNAcentral lists this ribosomal RNA (253 nucleotides) under uncultured bacterium. RNAcentral describes it as "partial 16S ribosomal RNA". It matches the Rfam family "Bacterial small subunit ribosomal RNA", at positions 524 to 776 of the family's 1533-position model. The record is from RNAcentral.